Long non-coding RNA from Octopus sinensis (East Asian common octopus), 3356 nucleotides. RefSeq lists it as uncharacterized. The transcript is spliced from 3 exons. NCBI's taxonomy places the organism in Eukaryota, Metazoa, Mollusca, Cephalopoda, Octopoda, Octopodidae. The record is from RefSeq and is a predicted model, not a curated record.
GCCAGAUUAUGACAGUUUGAACAUAAAACAGAUGGAAAUGUUUAGGCUGGAUAUGGCUGAUGUUAAAGGGUUAAAUUAUAGUUUACUAUGCUUAUAAAUAUUGUAAAAUAGUUAAAAAUACUAUAGAAGAAUAUUAAUAAGAGUAUUUGAAUACAUAUCUGAUGUAACUGAAUAAUACCUUGGUUUGAUUGCACAAGAUUCUCAAAAAAAUAUGCAUUUAAGAUUUUAUAAUGCAAAGGUAUAAUCAUUAAAGGUGUGAGAAGCCAGAUUAUGACAGUUUGAACAUAAAACAGGUGGAAAUGUUUGGGCUGGAUAUGGCUGAUGUUAAAGGGUUAAAUUAUAGUUUACUAUGCUUAUAAAUAUUGUAAAAUAGUUAAAAAUACUAUAGAAGAAUAUUAAUAAGAGUAUUUGAAUAUAUAUCUGAUGUAACUGAAUAAUACCUUGGUUUGAUUGCACAAGAUUCUCAAAAAAAUAUGCAUUUAAGAUUUUAUAAUGUAAAGGUAUAAUCAUUAAAGGACCAUAUGAGCUACUUAUUUUAUUCAAUAUAAUUCCUUGCUGAAAUCACUUUCAUAAUUUGAGGUAAUUAUUUUGAAAGAUUUUAUCUGGGCGUAUGUUUAGUUUCAUAUCUUACAACUAUUUUUGAGUUAACAAUCUUGAUAAUUACAAACAUUAAUUGUAAUUUAUUUCCUUAUUCUAAACCCAAUCAGGUUCAUCUUGGCCAGUGAACUAGAUUAUUAAUACCAUUUUAUUUAUUAGUAGAUAUUAGAUAAUUCAUUAUUACAGGGUGGGUAUUCAGUAUAUGGAUUGUUAGUUAUUCAAUAGCUGACUACAUCUCAUCUUGCUCAGUUCAUGUUAUACUUCAGUCUGUCUUGGAAAUUGUGAGUAGUAGUAACUGAAUAUCAAAUUGACACUUGGUUUUCUUAGAUCAGUGACUUACAUUGUUGAUUUUCAUUGUUUCCAUGUCUUUUUCGACCUUUAAACAAAACACGGUAACCAUUGCACACUACUGAUAUUGUAAAAAUGAUUAAAGUGAGUGUCACUCACAUUUAGGACUAUUGAUGUUUUGAUUGUGUAGAUUGUAAAUAAUUAAACGCUCAAACCAUUUACUAGAUAAAUGUUUCAAACAUACAAAUUUGCUGUGAUGUUCAUAUUUCCUUUCACAUUUUUAAUUAGAACCAAUACUCUAACUACAGGAUAUCAAAUCUCUUUUAAUAGCAAUUUCUAACAUUGGUACAAAGCCACCCAUUUGUACACAAAAAGCACAGUCAUUUCAGAAUACAAUCAAGUAUACUUUAGUUGCAUUUAAGGUUAAAAGUAUUUUGAAUUAUUAACGUUAUCUUUAAGAGACAAAACUUCUUUAAUAAUUUAUCAACACUGUCUCUAUUGGUUUCAUCUGUGAUUAUCAUUUUAAUCUUAUUCUUUGAACAUGUACAUUGUAUGAGGCUGGAUUCCUACUAGGAAACUUUAUUUUUGAACAAUGAAUAAUAAUAUCUUCAUCCACUGAACUCUGGAUACUUGUAUGAGUAAUGACAUAAAUUUAAGUGGGUUUCUUUCAUUUUUUUUUUUUUUUGUAAAUGCAGCCUUAUUGAGCUGAUGUCGGUUUUGAGCACAUUGAUUGGGUUUUUAUCAAGCCUUAUAUAUCAAGCAUUGGUGAUUGAUUUUUCUCAGUUUCCUCUGUGGUUCUCUGACAAUUAUAUAAAUUUCAUUCUCUAGCAGUAUGUAAUUUAUUUUCUUGCUCUGUUUCUCUUCAACUAUUUAUAUGCUUCUUCUUUCAUUUAGCCUUUUUUAUCUUCCUCUGUUCUUACUUUUAGGGGCUUCCGAGUUUCUCUUUUGCAAUAUUUCAUGUUUUAAUAUUCUUUAAUAUUCCAUGCACUUCUACAAAUACGUGAACUCUUAUAGAUGAAAUUCUUAUGUUCAAGCUAUCCAUGAGUAGAUUUAAUUUGGUGAUCAAUCUAAAGUUUAACAUUACUUUUGAAUAUAGUUCCUUUCUAAAAUGCUAGGUACAUCAGAAUUGUGCUCUAAUGUUUUGUGUUGUAGAUUCUCUGAAUUCUCUCUGACAAAUUCUUAUAGUAAUGUGGAGACAUAAUAGAGUUUGAUUUAGUCUCUAUUCUGUGCUUGAAAGUAAUUGUAUACCUUAUAUGAUGGACCAGGUAUUUGUUACUCAGAAAUGUCAUUUCCAGGUGAAUCAUUUCUUCCAUAUAAAUUGAAAUAUUGAUGCAGGUCUUUCUUUUGUCCAAAGUUAGUGUGGUAUUAGAUAAUUUCAUUUUGGAAGUUAAUCAUAAUUUAAGUAGAGUUCACCGGCUAUUGGUUUUUGAUGCAUUGAUGCUAUGAAACCUGCUUCUGUCUUUGAACCAAUACACCAAAGAAUGGUAGUUCAUUGUUACAUGCCCUCUUCUAGGUAAACUAAAUUGAUAUAUGUGGAUAACACCAAGUUGAACUUGGUGUUAUCCAUAUUUCUUCAUCGAGCUGUUGAUUUUUAGUGUGGUACUUAUUAGAGCUAGAAUCUUCAAAGUGUUCCAUAUAGGUUUACCUAUUACUCUUGAUAAUAAACCCAUAGCCAACCCUUUCAUUUAUGGUAAAUUUUAUUUUCCACCAGAAAGCAGUGAUCAGUUGGUAGUUUUGCGCUCAUGAAGACUUUGGGGGGUUUUUUUUCUUGUCUGCUCCUGACAAUCACGACAAUUGACAAGGCAUCGUCUGUUAGAAUCAUUGUUAAUAGGUUUACCACAUCAUAACUGGACAUGAUUUGCUUGUACUCAACUUGUUCUAUGAAGCAUGUUCAAUUUUUCACAUGAGAAGUUCUGCUCAAAAGUACCAAGAGUGGGGAAAGGAUGUUAAUCAGAAAAAAAACUCAGUAGAUAAUAUGCUGAGUGUCUGCAUCUAACAAUAGACCCAAAGGUAUCCCAAGUCAUCAUCAUUUAACAUCUGCCUUCCAUGCUGGCAUAGGCUGAACAGUUUGACAGGUGUUGGUAAAGCAAAGGAUUGCAUCAAGUGCUAUUGUGUACUUUGGCAUUCUUUUUAAGACUUGAUGCCUUUCUUCUGUAUGUGUUUGUGUGUGUAUAUAUAUAUAUAGGUAGCUAAUUAUUGUGUUGUAUAAGCUCUUUGUAUUUAUAGUCAGUAAAAUGUUUUUAUGCACAAUUGACAAAAUGUUCAUGAAGCGAGGCUUUUCUUUAACUCUUUUGGUAUCAAAUCUCCCAAGACCUUCCUGGUUUUAUGGUACUAACAUCCUGUUUUAAAGUGAUCUAAAUUAAAGCUUCCUUUUAUAAUUCCAGGUUUAUGUUCGUUUGAAACUGAACUUAAUAAAACAAAGUCAUUCUACUAUAAUCUUUAUUGUUUUAUAAAUUAACUGAAAGAAAAAU